This is a long non-coding RNA of Passer domesticus (house sparrow), 1754 nucleotides long. RefSeq lists it as uncharacterized. The transcript has 3 exons. NCBI's taxonomy places the organism in Eukaryota, Metazoa, Chordata, Aves, Passeriformes, Passeridae. The record is from RefSeq and is a predicted model, not a curated record.
CAUUGCUUUCUCAAAGAGUGUUAAGGAGUUCUGAGUCUGGAAUGGCUUUCCAUAAAGCUGAUCUGGCCAGCUUUUUUGCCUAAUGAAGUAAAGACAGAAGUGCCAGUUUGACUCAUGCCCUCAUUGCUUUCUUCAGAUUCUGCUUCAAUAAAGACAGAUGCAAGCCAGCUUGGGUCUGGUGUCUCUCCUGUUUAGGGUGAGUGAUAAACCACAUCUCAGCAGACUUGCUUUCCUCUCACUGUGCAGAAUCCCAGUAAAUUAGCAAGGUUGGGAAGAAAGCUUGUUUAUCUGUCUUUGUCCUGCUUCACACAUCUGUGGGAUGGGUCUUGUCUCAGACAUGAGACUGAAACUUAUUUGAGAGUGAAGGCCAUAAUGUUUAGGAUUAUUUCAAAAACAGCAUCACACAGUGAUCAGAACAAUUAGCAGCUUUGAGGCUCAAAAGGUAGUAAAAUGAACUUCACUACCUUUUUGAAAAGGCUUCAUUUAGAGACUGAGAGGAAGAAAAUGUUUUGAACUGAAAGAUUUCAGUCUUUUAGAGGUUUUCCACAAUUUUGGAAGAGAGGCUGUUUUUCACCCUCAUUAAUAGUUUUUUAAUUCUGUUUUUUUUUGGUCAUAAAUUGAGUGAUUACCCUCAAAACCAGUAAACACAUAAGUCUGUAUUUCUUCAGGUUUUAAAAGGCUGGACCCCCUGGUUGUUUUAGCCUUCAGGGUGACAUCUCUUUUAUUGUGACUAAAAUAUUUUCAGUGAGGAGAAAUCAGUGACCUGGGUACCAUGUAGCAUCUUUAUGCUUGAAGGCAAAGCAGACUUUUGGUAUACUUGCAGACAGGAGGUGUCAGGCAGAAACUGGCUUUUUUUUGGUGCCUUGACAUAAUUGAAAAGUCACAGCAGACUAGCUAAAAGGUGUAUGUAAUUCAAAUUAACAAAAUUCCUCCACUGCUCUCCAGAAAGGAUAUGCUCCCCAUGAAAAGCCUCAAAAAUAAGUCUGUUUAGCUGUGACUAACGGAUACAAACUGAAAAGUAGGAGUUCCCUCUGAACAUCAGGAAAGGCCUUCUCACUGCGAGAGUCACACAGCACUGGUAGAGUUUUCACAAAGGGAUUUUGGAGUCUCCCUGCUUGUAGAUAUUCAAAUGCGACCUGGACAUGUAUGUGGCCAGCUGGCUGUAGGUGGCCCAGUUUGAGCAAAGGACUGGAACCACAUGAUUUCCAGGGGUCCCUUCCAACAUCAGCUUUUCUGAAGAUGGCUUGAGACACCAUUCCCUGUUGGCAGAAAGGGGACUCUGAUUCCUGAGUGCAUCAAGACUGCCUGAGCCUGUGCAUAUUCUUCCUGCCUACAAGCUGUGCUAAUGGGUCUCAGAAAGUAGAAACAGUCCUUUUUGGAUGUUUGAGAUCAUCAGUGCAGUUAAGCAAUAGAAUUAGUAAGUGGAGAAGAGCAGCAAGUCCAUGCCAAAAAAUAAAUUUAAAAAAAUAAAGCUCAGUAUCUCUACGAAUGAAAAAUGGAAGAGUCAGAGGAACCCUUUACAGACACAGAUAUAAGGUAAGCACCUCUUGAAAGCCAGUGGGCUGUAGGGUUUUACUUUAUUACUGCAUUUGAAAAUCUCCAUUUUGAGCAAAGAAAAAUGGCAUCAGAAACUAAUCUUUGAAAAGAGACUGGGGUGUAGGAGGAUUGAAAAAACUAAGCACAAGGCAAGGGAUGGUGUUUACAAAGGAAGCUGGUUGUGUUUGGGAGCUGGUGGUGUUCAUUGUUUGAGGAGC